This 99-nucleotide microRNA precursor is filed under the name Loxodonta africana (African savanna elephant). Its description in RNAcentral is "mir-544 microRNA precursor family". It matches the Rfam family "mir-544 microRNA precursor family". The record is from Rfam by way of RNAcentral. Lineage: Eukaryota; Metazoa; Chordata; Mammalia; Proboscidea; Elephantidae.
AUUCACCAGGGAAUCUUGUUAAAAUGCAGAUUCUGGUUCAGUAAGUCUGGGGAGAGGCCCAAGAUUCUGCAUUUCUAACAGGCUCCCCAAGAAUGCUGA